UUUAACCCUAAAUAUGAAUAAAUUCUCAUAUUA
Molecule: transfer RNA, 33 nt
Filed under: Placobdella montifera
Lineage: Eukaryota; Metazoa; Annelida; Clitellata; Rhynchobdellida; Glossiphoniidae
Description: partial tRNA-Leu
Source: RNAcentral